CCCACUGCUGCACACCACCACCUGCUCAAAGUGAGAAAUAUCUUAGCUCCUAGUUUUUUAGUUCAGGUCCAAAUGCUAAUGGCCCACAGGAUCUACGCACAUGUCAAAAAAGUAAAGACAGGAACAAAAACCAGCCAACAGGUGAGAAAGCCUCUGGUUUAACCUUAUCCAAUGUUCCAAGAGACAGUGAAAACCUCAAAUCCAGGGGCCACAUGCACCGCAUUCCCAACAAAAGCACACGUUUCAACAUCAUCUCACUUCGUGUAUAAAUUACUUGCCCUCUUCCCUUUCAAUCUCAGCUUCACAUAUAACUAGCAAAAACAGAUAGUAACCAGAAAAACAUGGAGGCAUUUCAGUCUUGGGUUUCAGAACACAAGCUCACUAGCAUUGGUGCAGUUUGGGCAUCUGCAAUUGGGGCAUCGUUGGCUUAUAACAGCCGUGGAAAAAGCACUCUUAAGCCAAGUCUGAGGCUUAUUCAUGCAAGGAUGCACUCACAAGCCUUAACACUGGCGGUGCUGUCUGGUGCAGCAGCUUACCAUUACUAUGAAAAAAGUACCAGUAACCAAGAGAAGGUCACCAAUGCCUAGACCAGAUUCAUAGCUCAUAAUAGCUGUAUUAUGUAACAUUGAAAUCUUGAUUAUUAGUGGUUUGAUGAUGAUGAAAAAAUCGAAAUUAAUGAUGUAUCCUUUCUUCUUCUUUUUUAUGAAUGUGACCUUUGAUUGGCCUUUUAUCAUUCUACUUUCUAGUUUCUUUUCAUAAUAUCACCAAGUUGAAUGAAAGGAAUAUAGCGUAUCGAAAUAUAACGUACCAGGUUAAUUCCAGGACUUGGAUUGGAGUGUGAAUAAUUUAUGUAAGCAUUGAAGCAGCUGUAUCAUUUGUUCCCAAAGAUGCCAUUUCUACUAACAAACCAACAAGAAAUGCAGGCAGCAAUUGAAAAGAAAUAAACAGAAGGGAAUGAAUGAAUCGAUAGAAACCGAAAAAGCAGUGAUAUCAAUCUUUAACUAUAAAAGAAAAAACAAACCAACAUUUUCUUCUCAAUCCUCAUCUUCAUUUCUUGGUGAAAUAAAGAAUAGCUUACAGAAAAUAUCCAUGGUGAUCAAAGUUCAUGGAAUUCCCCUCUCUACAUGCACUGCACGCGUCUUGCUUUGCCUAUGCGAGAAAGGCCUCCAAUACGAGCUUGUCCCGGUCGAUGUCGAAAAUUCUGCCCACAAAAACCACCUUAUUUAUCUCUAAAUCCCUUUGGCCAGAUAGCGGCAUUAGAAGAUGGAGAUGUCAAGAUCUUUGAAUCAAGGGCAAUAUGCAAAUACUUGGCACGCAAAUAUAACGAAACUAGAAUCACCAUCGAUCUUUUGGGUUCAAGUAGUUUAACGGACUCCACCCUUGUGGAUACAUAGAUGGAAGUGGAGUCUCACCAAUUCAAUCCUCCAACCAAGCACUCAUUCGCCAAAUGAUCGUCAAUCCAAUAUACGGGAUCGCCCCUGACGAGAAGAUCAUCGAGAUCGAAUUGCAUAACCUAGCCAAAGUUCUCGAUGUCUACGAGGAAAGGUUGUCGGAAUAUAAAUAUCUCGGAGGAGAUUUCUAUAGCAUGGCCGAUUUGCACCAUAUACCUGACCUUGUUUAUUUCAUGAGAAGCUCUAAAUCGUCAAUUGUAACUAGUCGGCCUUGUGUGAAUGCUUGGUGGAAUGAUAUUUCAUCAAGACCUGCAUCGGUUAAAGUUGUGGAACUCAUG
Gossypium raimondii (Peruvian cotton) is the source of this 1729-nucleotide RNA transcript. It is a transcript of the gene named glutathione S-transferase PARB, with no coding region annotated. NCBI's taxonomy places the organism in Eukaryota, Viridiplantae, Streptophyta, Magnoliopsida, Malvales, Malvaceae. The transcript is spliced from 5 exons. The annotation marks the transcript as partial. The record is from RefSeq and is a predicted model, not a curated record.